RNAcentral lists this ribosomal RNA (754 nucleotides) under Sancus acoreensis. RNAcentral's name for it is "partial large subunit ribosomal RNA". The stretch from base 471 to 754 matches the Rfam family "Eukaryotic large subunit ribosomal RNA", at positions 665 to 921 of the family's 3401-position model. Lineage: Eukaryota; Metazoa; Arthropoda; Arachnida; Araneae; Tetragnathidae. The record is from RNAcentral.
GGCCCUCGAAAUCCUGUGGCGGGAGGAUUCAGUCGAGAGGUCCGGAGACAGAGCUGGGGCAGCGACAGAAUGGCACCCGACCGGGCCACCCUGGUUCUGUUUUCCGGAUAGACCGACGCAUUUCUUUCCCGCCCGAAGGACGCCGCAACCGGUUGGCGGUUGGGCCUGAAGGACGGGAGCUGGAAGGUGGCCGGUGGUCUUUUCCCCUCGGGGUUGGCCGCCGGUUGUUAGCCGUCCCGUCGCACGGCCCUACCCCGACCGUGGUGUCGCGAGGCCCCUCAUGGGCCUCAACGCCUCCUCCGCAUGGUAGCGAGCGGACGCGGCAGGUGAGGCGCGGUUUUUCUGUGGGCGCACGGACUCGCUCCGUGGCUCGCGGUGCCGCGUCCCCGCUGGCUGCGCGUGGCUCGUAGGAGCGCUGGCUGUUGGCGGCGAGUAGAUCGGUCACCCACCUGACCCGUCUUGAAACACGGACCAAGGAGUCUAACAUGUAUGCGAGUCAUUGGGUCUCGACAAAGCCCACAGGCGCAAUGAAAGCGAAGGCCGUUCACGGCUGAGUUGGGAUCCUCGCUCCUUCGCGGGCGAGGCGCACCAACGACCCGUCCCGUCCGAUUUAUCGGUGUGGCGGAGUUCGAGCAUACACGUUGGGACCCGAAAGAUGGUGAACUAUGCCCGGGCAGGACGAGGCCAGAGGAAACUCUGGUGGAGGUCCGUAGCGGUUCUGACGUGCAAAUCGAUCGUCAGACCCGUGUAUAGA